GAUUAGAACAUGAACAAGCAGAUGCCUCGACCUUAAAACCCUAGCUUCAUACGCCACUAGUGCCUGCGUUUCGCAUUGUACCUGAUGGUGUUGUUAGUCCUCAUACAGAUCCAGUGAGGAAUAGGCCUAUUCUGCCUCAUCUUCUUGGCCAGCUUCUUCUUGAUCCUGAAGGUCUUGUGUGAUGACAUCUUCAAUUCUUCACGAUCGGAGAGGAAGCCGAACGGUCAAGGGAAACGCUAGCGACACGGGAUCGUGAGGGAGCUUGAUCCUACCGUGGAGUAGCUGGAGCUAGAGGUGUGUAGUCGAGUGGUCUGUGGAGCUAGGAGGGCUAACACUUGUGGAGGAGAUGACGACUCGACCUCUAGGAUGAUGAGUGGUCUGGCUAUCCGAGUGGAUCAUUCGCAGCAGCACAUAGCAGGGAGCACCGCAGCAGGCACCGAGGCAGCAGCACACCAUACCAGAGGAGAGCCGCGGGAGACGGAUUAGGAUUUAGGGUUUUUUUGUGUGACGUGUGGACCAUGUGGUGUGGUUGGACUGACCGUGUGGCUGUGUGGAUUUAUAAAUUAUUCAAAUAAACGGGUCACCCGACGGUCUGAUUUUCAUAUCCGUGUUGGAAAGUUCAAUAAAUAAAUAAAUAAACAAAUAAAAACUGGUUGAUGAAGUUAGCGCUAGACCAACCCCGUCACUGUCUUGGCGCCAAGACACAGGGCUGCAAAUUUCUUUUCGAACGGAUAACUUCGCCGCAAGCUUCAGCAAUUAGCAAUCGGCGAUAAGCAUUCACGGGGCAGAGUUGGAGAAGCAUCCUGAAUUUUUGCGAGAGGGAGGGUGUGAUUUUCUGAAACAGCAAGAAGCUGCACUGUUUCUCUACGCUGCGGCGAAAUGAAUCAUCGCUAGCAUCACCGAUGGCUGUAAAAGGGUGGAUUAGCGGAGACGAGAGCGCCAAAGAGAUGCUAGCGAGGGUUAUGACUGAGCGUCCCUUCCUCCUUCUUCCUCCCCUUCACAGGCUCCCUCUCCGCGUCGGCAAUGUCGUCGAGAUCGUUGGCCCGUCUCCUUCCGCAAAGACUGAUAUCUUGAUUCAGGCUUCAGUCAAUUGCAUUCUUCCGAAAGAGUGGAACGGUGUGCACUAUGGAGGAUUGGAGUGUCUAGUAUUUUACAUUGACUUAGAUUGUAACUUUGAUAUAUUACGACUUUCACAAUCAUUGAAGCAUCGAAUUAUGGAGGCUAAUGGAGCAUACAGUGAAAUAUAUGGGGACAAAAACAAUGAUGUUUGGAACUAUGAGACAAAGGAGGAGUCCUGUGUCAUUUACAAUGAAGAAUUAUUUGCAGCGUGCAUGAGACGGUUCUUAUACAUGCGAUGUUAUGAUAGCUUUGAAUUUCUUUCCACGCUGAAGACUUUGCAUUAUCAGCUUCGGAAGGAAAGAGAAGAACAAGGUGUAAGCAUUUAUUUCCUUAUGAUUGACAGCAUUGGAGCUUUUUAUUGGGUAGAUCGUGCCUCAACAUCUCUACUAAUGGGGGCUAGUAACAGGAAAAGGCUUUCACUUCAAAGUGUGUCAGAAACUGUAGUUCAAGAGAUUCGGAAGCUUCUGCUGGUGCAUCCCAUGCUUAUUUUAACUACUAAAGCAACCAUUUUGGGGAUAGGUCAACAAAUGGGGUCAGCUGAUUUUGGAGCUACAACAGGUAUUCCUCAGAAGCUUUCAUAUCGCGAGUAUAUGCCUUCCGUCUGGCAGUCCUUUGUUACGCACAGGAUACUUAUACGAGUUUCAGAGGAUGAUUUGACUAAAAACAAACAUCAAAAUUGUUCAGUCUAUUCCGUAGAAUGGUUGCUGCCACCUUUGAGUCUCAUGGAUAAAUUUAUUGUUAGAGAUGCUGGGAUAUUUGUUUCAUGAAGUGAUGCUGUGAAGACCUCAAUGAAAUGAUCAGGUCAAAGUAUCCAUCCAAGAAACAGAAAAGAAAAAGAAAAAGAAAGAAGAGCAUGCUGAAACCAAGAGGGGAAAACUGGUAAACAAGUAGCAGCACUGCAGGCCCCUUUUUGCCACUAGCUACUGCUGUCCUACCAUGUUUCUGACCUAGAAGGGGACAUUUGGCAGAUAGCUAGAUGCGAGUUGCUGUUAUCCUGUCGCAUUUCUAGACAUGAAUAGCAGCAACAACACAAUGAUACAAUAAAUUUUUGUUGUAAACCGGAGACUGGUAGGCGUUCUCAUAGGAUUCUGGGUAUUCAAGAAGAAUGGUGGAAACUUGUAUAAAAUUGAAUCCUAUUAAGGAAAGAUUUCGAGCUUGUUAUUUCUAAUUACUAGAUAUGGUUGCACAAAUGUUCUCUUGAGUUUUAAUAGCUGCAUAUUUUGGGUUUAGUUGGGAAA
Molecule: RNA transcript, 2357 nt
Organism: Malania oleifera
Lineage: Eukaryota; Viridiplantae; Streptophyta; Magnoliopsida; Santalales; Ximeniaceae
Gene name: DNA repair protein XRCC2 homolog
Exons: 11
Source: RefSeq, a predicted model, not a curated record